AUCUUCCGCAAUGGGCGAAAGCCUGACGGAGCAACGCCGCGUGAGUGAUGAAGGGUUUCGGCUCGUAAAACUCUGUUAUUAGGGAAGAACAAAUGUGUAAGUAACUGUGCACAUCUUGACGGUACCUAAUCAGAAAGCCUCGGCUAACUACGUGCCAGCAGCCGCGGUAAUACGUAGGUGGCAAGCGUUAUCCGGAAUUAUUGGGCAUAAAGCGCGCGUAGGCGGGUUCUGAAGUCUGAUGUGAAAGCCCAGGGCUAAACCGUGGAGGGUCAAUGGAAACUGGGAAACUUGAGUGCAGAAGAGGAAAGUGGAAUUCCAUGUGUAGCGGUGAAAUGCGCAGAGAUAUGGAGGAACACCAGUGGCGAAGGCGACUUUCUGGUCUGUAACUGACGCUGAUGUGCGAAAGCGUGGGGAUCAAACA
This 421-nucleotide ribosomal RNA is filed under the name uncultured bacterium. RNAcentral describes it as "bacterial SSU rRNA". It matches the Rfam family "Bacterial small subunit ribosomal RNA", at positions 361 to 774 of the family's 1533-position model. The record is from RNAcentral.